UACCCUGUGGGUGCGGGUAAGAUUGAAGGAAGCGAAACAGAAACCAGCUCAGCUGGCCUGGUCUGCUCUUCAAGAACAGACAGACUGGGACAGCAAGGUGUCCGUCAGGUCAACAGUGUCCGAAGAUGCUACAUCACCUAUGUUCCAGUGCAAUCAACUACUCUGGAGUCCCAUGAAUCUUCUCACAAAGCACGUCA
Molecule: long non-coding RNA, 197 nt
Organism: Etheostoma spectabile (orangethroat darter)
Lineage: Eukaryota; Metazoa; Chordata; Actinopteri; Perciformes; Percidae
Exons: 3
Source: RefSeq, a predicted model, not a curated record